CUAGACCUAUACAAUAUAGAUCCCUAGACUAGAGCUGACAGUCGCUGGAACACAGAGGAGAUCCUCCCCCCCUGAUUUUUUUGAUCUUCUUCGAACCCCACCACCCCUGAAAUGAGCAACCCUAGAAUUUCUUCGCCUCCAUUCUCACACCUUCAGAGAACGACCGACCAUCCCCUGAACCAAGAGUAAACCAGCGACCACCUUCCUCAGCAGAACCCUUCAUACACCCUUAGUCAUCUGGUCAUAAUAGUUUAGUUAAAAAUGUGAAAAUUAGGCAUCAUUUUUUAUGCCUUGUAAGAGAAUUGAAUCUUAAAGUUCCAUUCGCAUCUGCUGCCUAAAGGAGGUAAUUGUUUCCUCAUGAGAAUCUGACACGCCGAUCAACUGCUACAUUGCCUUUUAUUGUAACAACUUCUGGGUAUCGACGUACAAAAACUCUCUGCCAUCCCAAAACCAUUUUCCAAGUCGAGUAGAUUUUGAGGUCGUCGACAAGAUUUGAGUCUUUCCGGCGAAGUUCGGUCAGUUUGUCGCUAGUCAAGGCUCCGUUCGAGUCCUUGCCUAUUAGUCGAUAUUCAAGGCAGUCUUGUGAAGUUUUCCGUUCAUUAAUUUUGAAAGAAGCAGUCAAGCAAUUGUAAAGGUUCAUUCUCUUCUACUCUUAAACAAAUUGCGUAAUUUCGAUUAGCCUUAACAGUGUUUCAUUGAGUUAUCUGUUAAUUGUGUUAAUCUGAGGUGAUGGAAAUCAUGUUGGAACUAUUAAUUUAGAUAUUUUAUUGGCUUUAAGUUGUUGAUCAUGAAUGAAGACUCUAAUUAAAAUGUUUUAAAUGUCGACGAGCCAGAGUUCACGUUUGGUUUGCUAUUUUCAUAUUAUAUCUGCAUCUCUUAAUUUAUUUCUAUUUUGUCUCUUUUUUCCAUAAUGAAUUUUUUUAAUUGAACCUUGUUGCAUUUCUUGAUUAAUUGGUAUGGAAUUUGAUCGUCUUGGUGAGAUACGAACUCUAGACAUAUUAAGGUCAAGAUUUCAAUCUCUGCCUGGUGCAUUCAACUCUUACUUGGUGCCUUCUGACAAAACUGACAAAAAGAGAUUUUCCCUCUCCAAGAUUUUUAAUGAGGUUUCACCCAGUAAGAGAAGUGAAGCUGCAAAAUUCGCUCAGCUAUGGAAUGAAUUUAUAUGCAGUUUCUGUGAAGAAGAUCUUAUAAGUGAUAGGGAGAUGGACCUAUUACUUGUUCCUUAUUCCUCGGACCCCAGUCUGAAAGUAUUCAAUGGCCACCCUUUUUGCUUGCUAGCAAGAUCCCAAUUGCAUUGGACAUGGCUUCACAAUUUCGUUCUAGAGAUGCUAACCUUUGGAAGCAUAUAUGUGCAGAUGAAUACAUGAAGUGUGCUGUCAUUGAAUGUUAUGAAUCUUUUAAACUUGUUCUUAAUGCCCUGGUUAUUGGAGAAACUGAGAAAAGGAUCAUAGGAAUCAUCAUAAAAGAAGUUGAAAACAACAUUUCAAAGAGCAGAUUCUUUGCGAAUUUCAGAACAGAUCCUUUGCAAAACCUUUGCAAGAAAUUUGUUGACCUACUUGAGAUACUGAGAGAUGGAGAUCCAUCUAAAAGGAAAAACAUUAUCAUAGCUACGGGUACGGUUCCCGUGACGUAGUUAUGAUCCUAAUUCCCAACCCGGGUGUGCAUUUCAUGUGACCCAACUUUAAUUCCCAACAAGGUUAAAUAGAACGUGUCGUGAACCACAGGUGCAUUUCAUGUAGCGUGGUUUACGAUGUGUUUUAAAUAACCUUAAAUUUUCCCGAAAUAUUAAAAGCGGAUAUAAAAUUAAAAAUACAUAAUAGGUUUAAAACCUGUAAAAAAUCAGAUAAAUAGGCCAAUAAUAAUAGUUGAGCGACCGUGCUAAAACCAUGGAACUCGGGAGUGCCUAACACCUUCUCUCGGGUUAACAGAAUUCCUUACCCGGGUUUCUGUGUUUCGCGGACUGUAAAAUCGAGUCAAUCUUUCCUCGAUUCGGGAUUUAAAACCGGUGACUUGGGAUACCAUAAAUUAUCCCAAGUGGCGACUCUGAAUUUAAUUUAAAUAAUCUCGUUUCGAUUGUCACUUAAAUUAGAAAAAACUCCCUUAUACCCCUUUUAGGGUGGAAAAAAGAGGUGUGACAGCUCUGGCGACUCUGCUGAGGACAAGAACCCAGAACCUUUGGUUCAAGGUUCAGAAUUCGAGCUUAAAAUAACUGUUAUAGUUGGAUUUUAUUUAUUUUCUGAUUUUUAUAUGUUUGAGCCUAAUGUGCUAAUUGUCGCUUUUUACCACUUUGAUAUUGUUGGACUGUAUAUAAAUUGUUACAAAACCCUCCUCUCUCUGAGUCUUCUAAAUCAUCUGGAAAGUGUGCACUUCGUGUGACUUCUCUUCUGUUAGAGUCAUACUCCAAUUUUAGAACGAGGUUCAGACAAGUUGCAAAGCCAGUGAAGCUUCUGUAUUCCCGGUACGCUGCCCCCCUCGGCUCGAGCUGUCGGCUCGGGUAAGCCAGGUCUAAAACAUAUAAACCCAGGUUUUUAAACGUAGAAUAACAUAGCCUCAUGCCGGAUCCCUAGUAGGAACGCUUGUUUGCAUCCCGUGCAUCUGACUAUGAGGACUCAACACAGGGGUUGGGUCCGUCUAGGACAGGUGCACCCAAAAUAACAGACCAUCUUGAUGCAUCUUAUGUGCUAUAUGUUGCAUUUCUUCAAGGGUAAAAGGGUCAUUUGGCGGACUAAUGAUAGUUGAGGGCAAAAAAAAAAGAGAAAGAAAAGAGGGUGAAGUAUGAAAAUAAAGCAAGUAGGGCUAAGUUAUGUUUUUCUUUUACAUUUUUUUUAAGAAAAAGACAAAAAGAUGAACAUGAAAAAAAAUCCAAAAAGAUUUUGUAUUUUCCCUUUAUUUUUUUUUAAAAAAGACAAAAAUAUGUUUUCUCUUAAUUAGUUGUUUUUUUUAUUAUUUCUCAACCGUAUCCAAUCUGCCUGAACUACGCAUACCUGAUUCUCGUCUUUUGGGGCGUGAUACGUAGUCAACCCACAUAGGAUUCGGUCUUCCUAGUAAGUCUUAGGUUCUUGGCUUCGCGGGGUCUUAGCCAAAUCUUGCAUUUUUAGCCACUUUUUGCCACAUAUGUUAAUUUUAGAAAAUAAUCACAAUCAUGUCUUGCAUGUGUCCAACAGGAAGGAUUAUUGUCUCACAUAGAGUUCUAGGUCUUUAACUUUAUUUGGUCUUAAUUGUUUUCCAUACAGGUAUGGAUCUACUCACUGGAGUUUCACCAUGAAAGAGCCCCAGGACCAUCUAGUCAGCAUCGCUUAUUCAGGAGUGGAUUAAAAGGAGAUUUUCUUUUCUUUUUUAUUUUUUGAAUCUGUUUUUCUUUUUAUGUAGUCUUUUACCUUCUAGUUUUGUACAGUAAUGUCGAAUCUUUUAGGUGAUGUUAGAGUUUGUCAUAGUCUAGUUAAUUUUGCCGAGUCUGUUGUUAUUGUAUUUCUCAUUUUGUACUUGGAAAUGUGUUACAAGUCAAAAUCCAAAAAAAAGAAAAAAAAAGAGAAAUUUUGCGUUUUUAUAUUUCCCUUGGAAGUUUUCUUUAGAAUACUAAUUCUAGGAAUUAAAAAAAAAAUUCAUUUGAGGGAAUUUUUCCUUUAGGAAAUUAAUAUCUAGAUCUUAAAAUAAAAAUUGCUUUUAUAUUUCCUUUCGUAUAUUAAGACUAAAAAUUCAAAACAAAAAAAGAAAAAAAAAGAGAAUUUUCUUUUAGUACCUCUUUAAAGGUUUUCUUUGAGAUAUUAAUUCCAAAAUCCAAAAAGAUUUUCUUUUGAUGUUUUUCUUUGGGAAAUUAAUGAAAAAUGAAUAAAACAAAAAAUCCUUUUAUUUUCACUAGAAUUUUAAGAUAUUGUACAUAGGAAGAAAAAAAAUAUACUUUAUCUUUUGUUUAUAUAUAAGUUUUCUUCCUUAGGUAAUCAAAAACUUAAAUCCAAUUUUUUUUUUAUCUUGUUCACUUCUCGUUUCGAAAUCUUUCUUCAGGGACAUCAAAUGAAAAUUCAAAAACUUUUCUUUUCUUUGGUUUAUUCUUUAGAUUUCCUUCUUAAAAAAAAUAAAAAAAGUAUUUUUCUCUUGUAGGGUUUUUUCCUUAAUAGUUUCCCAUAGAGUGUUCGUUUCAAAAAGGAAAGAAGGGGAAAAAAAAGUUCGUUAAGCUUGAGUUUAGAAUAAGUUAUAGAAUAUUAAGUCUACAAAAUUCAAAAAAAAGGGAUUGCUUCUUUUAUUUCUCUUUUCUCAUGAGAGUAGUCAUUAAGGUAAAAAAAAGAAGAAAAAGAGAAUGUUAGUUUGUUUAGUCUAUUCUCGAUUUUCCCAAACUAUACAAAGAUCUGAUUUAUGCGGCGUCAUGAUACGUAGGCAACCUACGUAGGGUUCGAUCGAAUCAUUUUUUUAUUAUUAAAAGAAAAGGAAAGAAAAAGAAAAAAAAAGAGAAAAAAGGAAAAAAGGAGAUGAAAUUAUGGGAUGUGAGAAGGAGAGAAAAGAAAAGAGUGAUAAUUAGGAAAAGAGGAAGGGAAAUGAGCAAGCCAAGAAGUGCUAGAAAAGAAAAGAAAGAGAGGAUUGAAAUGAAUAAAUUGGGAUGAUGCCAUAUGAAUUUCAUACCCUCGAAGUCAUGUUAGAACGGAUAACUGUGACUAAGUGCAUUGCUCAUAAUGUGAGAUUAUCUUAUGUUAAAUGACCUAACGCUAACGUGAUAACUUCAUUUUGUUCCUCUUGUUAUCUUCAUUGUAGCAGAAGGGUGGUUGGUUUGUGGUUCUUAAAGUGGUAACUCUUCUCUACAACAUAAAGUUGAAAGGCAAUGGCAGACGGCAACAGAAUUUAGUUGGUUGGUACUGGUGCCCAAAAGCAAUUGGUUGAACAGGGCAAUGAGUUGGUUGAAGAGGUAAGGAUGUUAAGACAACACAUUGCGGACAUGUAUCAGGCUUGGAUGACUGGGAAGGCAUCACCCCCACCACCACCUAGCUUCUUAGAUGCUACCCUUACCCAAACUCCGGCCAUAGUGUCAGAUGAUCCUCCAUACUCUCCAGAUCCACCCGCUUAUCACAGCUUUCCCAACUACCCUAGUAGCUCCAUCACUCAUCCUCCAAUUACCUCUCCCCAAAAUUGCCCUCCUGUCAUAUCCACUAUCCCCAUGAUCACAACUUCUCAACAAUCUUCCCUUCAUAGAUCUGACAAUGAACAUCCACUCAAAGCCCAUGAUGCCCAAUAUUACCCCUCAGAGGUUGUCCACAAGGUUCCUGACUCAUACAAUCAGAGUCUUCGGAAUGAGCCUUAUGUUGAAAAUGAAAAUUUUACAGGAAAAGAAGGGUAAGNNNNNNNNNNNNNNNNNNNNNNNNNGCAGUGAAAUGAGAAGUGUUGGCAGGAAAGAUAAUUUGUUGAUGGCGUAUUUCAGUGAGAGCUUGACUAGGGCAACCUUGGAAUGGUAUACUCUUCAAGAUGUCAAUAAGUGGCAUGCAUGGGAUGACGUGACUCAAGAUUUUGUUCGACACUUUCAGUACAAUCUAGACAUUAUCCCGGACCGCUCUUUCCUAUCCAAGAUGGAAAAGAAACUGGAAGAAAGCUUUAGGGAGUUUAGGCUCAGAUGGAGGGAACAGACUGCUCGAGUAGUCCCCCGAUUGGUGAAGAAGAAAUGGUUGAGCUUUUCCUACAAUCCCAGGGGCCCACCUACUUCAGUCAUUUGAUCCCGGCCUUGGGUAAACCUUUCAUUGAUGUGGUAAAAAUGGGGGAGAUGGUAGAAGAAGGAAUCAACUCAGGCAAAAUCAUGAGUUAUUCUGCAUUGAAAGACACUACAAAAGACAUUCAAAACAUCUCAGUAAGUUUGGAUGGAAGAAAGAGAAAUAGAAAAGAUGUUGUUGAGCCGCGCUAACGACAAGAUCCAGUGGGCAUUCCUGCUCAAUGCUUUCAGCCUCAAUAUCGACCCCAUGGAUAUCCCUGUGCUCCAGAUAAUCCUCCCCAAUGCUACUUCUCUCCACAAAACCCCCAAAGUCGCACAUCACCUUCCUAGUACUCCGUCCACAAUGCACCACCAUAUGCUCCACACCCAUGAGACCCGCGACGGCCUACACCACUUCCACAAAUGUCUUACCCGCCCCCUCAAGAAUAUCAACCACCUACCCGCAAAAGGUUCCAACCUAGGCCAGAGUACAAGAUGAAAAGGCAAAAACAAAAGGAAAAGACUUUCACUCCCAUUGGAGAAUCAUAUGCCAGUUUGUUCCAAAGGUUGAGGCAAUUGGAUAUGUUGAAGCCGAUUCAGAUAAAAAUGCCAAACCCUCUUCCAAAAAAUUUUGAUUAUUCUCAAGGGUGCUCAUAUUGCUCUGAUGCCCCGAGUCACAGCAUAGAAAAGUGUUGGCAUCUGAAAAAGUAAUUCAGAAGCUUAUUAAUGCAGGUGACAUUGUCGUGCAAAAUCCAGAUGCAGUAGACACUAGCCAAAGUCCAUCGCCUAUUCAUAAUGAGACGCAUAUGGUGGGUAUGAUUUGUUUUGAAAAGGAACAUGAGAAUUCUUUCUGAGAUCCUCGGAGGUCUACGUGUUGCAAAGCUUUUAGCGCUAUCAGGGGUUGAUCUUAAGAAUGAGCCGGCAAAAGGGACCCAAAUGCAAUUUGCUAAAGUCAAUGUGAUGGAGAUUUGUAAAGGUCCUAGUAAUGUUGAUGAAGAACUCAGAGGCUAAGAUGUCUUGCUUGGUAAUGAGAAAGAAGCUUCAUCUCUUGGCUAGCCAGGAAGGAGUCUUCGUUGGUUUAUUUUGUUGUCAUUUCUGUUGUCCGGGUUAUUUUCAGGGUUGCAAUCCGGAUAUUGUCUUGUGACUCAAACUCUUCUAUUCUUUUAUUUUUCUUAGUUUGUUUAGUCGUAGUAGCUCGUUUAGUGUUGUCUAGUUUUGUUGCAGGGUUGUAAUCCCAGCUUAUUUUACUUGUUUUGUUGUCCAAACCCUUUCAACAUCUGUCUAAUGCAAUUUCUUGUUUUCUGUUAUUUCUAGUCAUUGUUUGUUUAGUUCUCUUUUCCUUUUAUAGUUUUUUUACUGCUGCCUCUAGUGACAUGACAUGCAUACAUAAUUCUAGGCCUGGUCUUAAAGUUAGUUUAAUCACGAAGCAAUGAAAUAAUUUUGAAGAUGAUAGGGACAUUUGAGGGAAAUAAGUGCAGAUUUGGACAUUUUGAGAUCAUUUGAAGCCCGAGCCAUGUGAAACUGGGGCAGAUAAUUUGGGAAGUUAAUAGGGUGGCAAGAAUUCGUUAAAAGAGAGUGCAUCCCGAACGAUUUGAAGUGAGCAGUUUUGAGUUCAAGUACACAUCAAUUUACAAGAUAAAGUCAAGGAAGUUUGCUCCAAAUAGACGGAGGGUACCCAUCAUGAAGAAAUAAUCACCCAAUGAGAGUUCUGUACUUGACAAGACACUAAAAAGGUAGAAAGCAUAUCAGUGAUAGCAAUGUCGAAGCUCUAAAAGAAAUAUUGUGUGUGCUCUCCCCUUUUCACUUCAAGUUGCAUGUGUUCUACUUGGCAUUUUCAGGGAUUGGGAGGUCCUCUUUCAGCUACCCGAACACUUAUACCAUUCAAUACCCUUUUGAGCAUGAUCCGAUUUCUUUGAACUCCCCUCUUUUGGAAUCAAGUUAGAGUCACACAGAGAAAAAGAACAAAAAACAAAAAAAGUUCAUGUCCCCAUAGGUUUAUUUUAGAAAGUUCAUUCCAAAAGAAAAUUUUCAAAAAAAGAAGAAGAUAAAAAUAGAGAUAAAAAGGAGAAAAAAAAGAAAAAAAAGAAAAAAAAAAGAAAAAGAAAAGAAAAUAAAAAUAAAAAUAGCAACAAAAAGUAGUCUUGUGAACUACGUUUGACCUGAUUCUUAUCACCACAAGAUACGUAGGCAGUCUUACGGUUCGGUCAUACCAAAUAAAAUAUUUCAUAAUCCCACAAAGUCGAGAGUGGGAAAUUCCAAAAAAAAGAGGGAAAAAUAGAUUCAAAUUCCACUGUUUUAGAAAUUGGGGCAAAGUUUUUAGAAUGGAUUCCAAAAGUUGUAAAUAAAUUAACCUCGUUGUCAUAGUUACUUUGAGCCUUUAUGAUAUCCUUUCUUUCUAAUCCUGUCCAAAAGCCACAUUACAGUCCAAAAAGGACCUCCCAGAUAAUCUUUGAGAGUGCUGAGUUUAGACAUGCCAAGGGGAUAUGUUGUUUUUACCAUGGUUAAUGCCUUGUCAUCUAUGGAAUCAAAGGAAAUAAAAAUAAAAGAACAAAAUGAGAGAGUCUUAUUGGUGAAAAUCUACACAGGCACCAUAAGACGACAGUGAGUUGAGAGAAAGAACAAAAUGAGAGAGGUUUGAUAGUGAAAACCCUUCGGGCACCACAACUCGAACAGGGAUCAUGAAUCAGAUAGAAUAAUCGGAGCAUUGAAGCCCAGUUUCACGGCAAAGAGGUAUAACAAGAGUUGAACAUUAGACUUGCUUGAUAGAUUAGGCCACAUGUGCAUGUCAUGGUCAUUAGAGUUGGUAUCCACAUCUGAUAAGUCUCUACUUUGUAGUUUUCUUGUUAGGAAUCAUCUCUUUCCAUUGUCCUUUACUCUGCUUCUUUUGUCUUGUUUACUUCCUCUUCCUGAGUCUGUUGGUCAAGAACAAGUGAGAAAUGACUUCAAAAUUUUCCACCAGCUUUCCCAUUGCACAAAAUAGGAUCUGGCUAGCACAUCAAAGUGGCAUAAGUCAGGAAAGAACAGCGUGCGCACUGAGCUGGUAACAAUCAACGUGCUUUGGGAUUCAUGUGAAAUAAAAAGGUUUGGUAUAUGUCAAUUCAUGAACAAUGCCACAGAUAGAGGAUGUUGGGUGAACGGAUCAAAGGUAUUUUCUGUGAUAAGGUUGACAGAGAAAGUGGUUAACCAAUGACAAGCAAGGUCUUCCAAGUGGAAAUCAAAGUUAUCAUGGCAAGUGAAGGAGCAAUAGACCUCAUGGCCAAGACCAGUGGGUUAAGUCAGGAAAGAACAGCAUGCGCACCGGGUGGGUGGCAAUUGACGUGCUUUGUGAUUCAUGUAAAGCACAAAGGUUCGGUAUAUGUCAAUGCAUGAGCACAAUGCAACAUAUGAAUGGUAUUGGGUUUGAACGGAUCAGAUGUAUUUUCCGUGAUAAAGGUGACAGAGAAAGUGGUCAGUCAAUAAACAGGCAAGGCUUUCGAGUUGAAAUCGAAGUUAUCAUGGCAAGUAAAGGAGCAAUAAACCUCAAGGCCAAGACCAAUGGGUUAAGUCAGGAAAGAAUAGCAUGCGCACUAAGUGGGAUGAAAUUGACGUGCUUUGGGAUUCAUGUAAAACACAGAGGUUCGGUAUAUGUCAAUGCAUGAGCACAAUGCAAUAGAUGAAUGGUAUUGGGUUUGAACGUAUCAGAGGUAUUUUCCGUGAUAAAUGUGACAGAUAAAGUGGUCAGUCAAUAAAUAGGCAAGGUCUUUCGAGUUGAAAUCGAAGUUAUCAUGGGAAGUGAAGGAGCAAUCGCCCUCAAAGUCAAGGCCGCAAAUUAACCACUAUGUUUAAACUCACAAGUUUUCUUUGAUUGAAACAGGGGUAGGAAAUUUUGUUUGUUCCGGAGAAACCCUCCGUGAGGAAAGCAGGUGCCAGACAGGCUCGACAGUAAGUUCUAGUACCAUCCUCGAUAAUGGGAUUUAGUAAUUUUUGAGACUCUCGCAAAUGACAAGGUUUGACGAGAGGUCUACUUUUGGGAAGUGUAAUUUGGCAUUUCAGUUUUCACUUUUGAAAUGAGGCUUGAUUUGAAAUUUUCAGGGUAAAGGAAUCUAAUUUAGAAUUUAUUUUGAUAACAAGAAUUGGUUAACACUCACAGAUGUUCCUAAUAUCAAACUGGGGCAGAAAAAUUUCUUUUAUUUGCUUGUUUUUGUUGAAAUCAGGCACCCACCUGGAGAAACAAGGGAGGACAGUUCAAUGAAAAUCAAUUUCAAAGGAGUUAGUUCGAGUUCGGCAAUCAGACACCCACCUGGAGAACAAAGUGAAAGUAGCAGUUUCAGAGGAGUCAAUUCGAGUGGGAAAUCAGGCACCCACCUGGAUAACAAAGGGAAGACAAUUCAAGUGUUGGAAAUCAUGCACCCACCUGGAGAACAAAGGGAAGACAAAUCAAGUGUUGGCAAUCAGGAGCCCACCUGGAGAACAAAGGAAAAGCAGUAAUGAUCAAAGGAAGACAACAAUCAGGAGUCCACCUAGAGAACAAAGGGAAACAGUUCAAGUCUCAAGGAAGAACAGUGCAAAUGUUGGUAAUCAGGCACCCACCUGGAGAACAAAGGGAAAGCAUCAAUGUUCAAAGGAAGACAACAAUCAGAAGCCCACCUAAAGAACAAAGGGAAAGCAACAAUGUUCAAAGGAAGACAGCAAUCAGGAGCCCACCUGGAGAAUAAAGGGAAAUAGUUCAAGUCUCAAGAAAAAACUGUACAGGUGUUGGAAAUUAGGAGAGCCCACCUGGAGAACAAAGGUAAAGCGGAAAUGCUCAAAGGAAGGCGGUUCAAGUUCAGCAAUCAGGAGCCCACCUGGAGAACAAAGGUAAAACGAGUCAAGUUUCGAGGAAAAAGCCGUACAAGGGUUGGUAAUCAGGCGCCCACCUGGAAAACAAAGGGAAAACAACAAUGUUCAAAGGAAGACGGUUCAAGUUCAACAAUCAGGCGCCCACCCGGAGAACAAGGGAAAACAGUUCAAGUUUUGAGGAAAAACAGUGCAAGUAUUGGCAAUCAGGCGCCCACCUGGAGAACAAGGAGAAGGCAGUCCAAGUUUCGAAGGAAGACAGUUCGAGUAUUGGCAAUCAGGCACCUACCUAAAGAAUAAGGAAAUUCACUUCAGAAUGAAAUUCAAGUCAGCAACAAAAGAAGCUCACGACAAGAAUGCGAGUCAACAGUCCGAGGUGAUCAACAGAUGUUAGUCACAAUCCAAAAUAAAAAAAGAGAAAGGCAAGAAGUGAAUCCAAAUGCAGAAGUUGAUGAAAGACGUGAGCUACUCAAGACAUGACUGAAGUCACAAGCAUGGUAUGUCCAAUUUUGAUCCGAAAAGCUGAAGAGGAAUGAACUAGUACCUGCAACUAGCAAGCGUCAAGGUUCAAAUCCAAAGUCUGCAUGAAGAACCAUUUAAGACUCAAGAUCAAGCUUCAGAAGACUUAUAGAUAGGAAUCUUGUAACUCGUAGUUGACAGGCUUAACUAGUCUUUUUCAUUUUUUGAUGUUUGAUGUAAUAACAGGAUCGCGGAGCGGAACCUCGACGGAACGGCACCUCGACCGGCUCUCCACCUCGGUAUACUCCAUCAUCUCACUCACUUCUGAACUACACAUGGCGUGAUUCCUUUAUAGCCAAAGAUAUGUAGGUAGCUCGGAUACCAGGGCUCGAUCACAUUCUCCUUUCUUUUAGUUUUUGGUCUCUCUAAAUAAGGGUCGGGUCAAAAAACCUAUCUAGUCAUUCUUUGUCUGAAAAUACUUCGUAUUUCUAGUUAAAGAGGGGUAGCUGUAGACAUGUGAUUUUUGAUCUUCCCCAAGAUUUUUUAUAUUUUAGCAUGUAAAUAUUUAAAAUGUUAUCUUAUGGAGGCAAAGAAGUGCUAUUAAAAAGUGUUCUUCAGAGUAUUCCUGUAUAUGUGUUAUCAGCAAUUACUCCUCCUAUUUGUGUUAUUAAAGAAUUGCACAGGAUCUUUGCCAAGUUCUUUUGGAGUACUAAAGAGUCAGGGAGAAGUAAACAUUGGUCUGAAUGGGUUAAAGUGUGCAUCCCUAAGCAGGAAGGGGGCCUAGGAUUUAGAUCCAUAUUUGAUGUGUCUAAGGCGUUGUAUGCCAAAUUAUGGUGGAGGUUUAGGACACAAAAUAAUUUGUGGUCUAACUUUCUAUGGAACAAAUAUUGCAAAAAGCAAAUUCCUUCUCUAGUUCUAUGGAAAGGGGGGUCACAAGUCUGGAAACAUAUGCUUGAGAAUCGAGUUCUUAUUGAGAAUCACUUGUGGUGGGAACCUAAAAAUGGAUCUUCUACGAUUUGGUAUGAUAAUUGGUCCAACCUGGGUCCAUUACAUUUGCAUCAAUCAGAUUUUUGCACUUGUUACCCUAUGAGGGACAUAAGUGAUUUUUUAACUGAAGAUGGAUGGAAUUUUUCAGUUAUUGAGGAGGUGGUUCCUGAUUAUGUAGUGCAACACAUUAGAAGCAACAUGAGGUAUACUCAACUACAAAGUAAAGCUGAUAAACCAUGGUGGACAAAGAUUAGUACCGGAGAGUUCAGUGUUAGUACUGCUUGGGAGUUGUUGAGGCAAAAGGAGGAUAUUAAUGAAGAUUUGAAGAAGUUAUGGGUAACAAGAUUGCCUUUUAAGUUCUCUUUCUUGGCUUGGAGAAUUUGGUUAGGUAAAGUUUCUGUGGCAACCCUAAUGCAUUCUUGGAAUUCUUCCAUCUCUCUUAAUUGCAAUUGUUGUACGAUUCUGGGGAUCGAGGCUAUUGAUCAUUUAUUUUUAAGGGGAGAUACAUCUGCUACAGUAUGGUCUCAUUUUUCUAGAGGUGCAGGAAUAUUGGGUCCUACCUUAAAUCUAAAACAGGUCAUUAGAAAGUGGUGGACUAUUGCAGGAAAUACAAGACUCAAGCUUGUGUUUCAGGUUGUUCCUAUAGUAAUUUUGUGGUUUCUGUGGAAGAGAAGGAACACGAUUUUACAUGGAGGUUCUUAUUCUAUUGGGAAGGUGGUCUAGAAUGUGAAUGAUAUCCUGUUGAAGGUAAUCAAAAUUAGAUUUAAGGAUAAAUACGAGGUUAAUAAUUGGUCUUUUAUCUUAAAAGAGUUGAAUAAUUACAGAGUCAGAUACAGUUUCAAGAUUGUAAGGUGGAUCCCCCUCCUAACAAUUGGCUAAAGUGUAAUACUGAUGGUGCUUCCCGUGGCAAUCCCGGACCAAGUUCAGCUGCAUUUUGUAUUAGGGAUCAUGAAGGAAAUCUGGUUGUGGCCAAGGGUUUCAGGCUUCCUGAUACUACUAAUUUGAUUGUAGAAGCUAGAGCAAUUAGAAAGAGUUUGCAGUAUUGUAAGGAGAAUGGAUUGGACCAGAUAAUUAUAGAGUCGGAUUCUUUGGCUAUGAUACAAUUUUUGGAAGGGAAUUGGGCAAUCCCAUGGAGUGUAGUGACAGAUAUUAACUAUAUUCAAAGUUUGAGGAGAAAUUUGUUAGUAAGAGUACAACAUUCCCUUCGGGAAGGAAAUACUCUUGCUGACUAUUUUGCUAACCUAGUUUUUGAUUUUGCAGGUGAGUUUCAGUUUAAUUCUUUUCUGGAGAUUCCUUCUGAAGGCAGGAAGAUUUUAAAUUUGGAUAAAAUAGGAACACCUCAGAUUAGAAGAAGCAUUACAGGAUAAAUUCAAUAUUGUUAAGUUACUGGUAGUGUGAUAUAUGCAACGGACUAAUCUUUAGGAACCUGUACAAGAAAUUUCUUUAAACUUUUCUAGUAUAUUCUAACGUCUGAAGAAAUUUCUUAUGACUUGAGCAUUUGCACCUGGUGAGAGCUUAGAGGUGUCCAAAAAUGCCUAGUCAGGACGCAGGAAGCACUAGUAAGUUUCUUUGUCUUGUCUUGGUUCUUAAAAGUAUGAGUCUGCAUUUACAAAAAAAAAAAAGAUAAUAUAGCCAAGUUUGAGAUCGAAUUCCCUAAUCUAGGCUUCGGAUGGUGGUAUUAAUCUCUCUUGGGAUUCAACCCAUUGAAGCCUAGAAAGAGAAAGAGAUUGAAGGCUUAUGGAUUGCUGGCUACCUAGCGGUCAUCGAUGAGAUUUCAUUGCGUUAGCUUCAAAUGUUGAUGAGCUACAAGUCUCAAUUCUGAUGUACACCAUGGCACUCAGAAUCAUAGUUGAAAGAGGAACAAAUAGAGGAGUAAAUGUUGGAGAACAGGGACUUACCUGAUAUUUUUGUAUUCGUUUUGUUGCUCUUCAAGGGUCUACGAAUUGGAUCUGAAAUGGGGAUAGUGGAUCGACGAAGAUUGAUUUCGAGUUUUCUCCCUUCUCCCUUCUUCCAGUUGUGUGGAAAAUGACUUAGAGAGGAAGAACGUUUGACCACAAGAAGCUCCAUUUUGAUAUGGAAGCUCUCUACUUGAAGAAGAUGUACAGUACAAUUUUCAAAUUUUUCUUUCUUGUUGUUUCUAUUUUGAUGUUUCUAUUUCCACUUGAUUUAUUUGGAUCAGGCCACUUUUGGGCCUGAUCAUGUACAUACCCUUUUUGGUUUUUAAUAAAAGGGCCUUCGGGUUCAUUUUAAAAAAAAAAAUUAAUUUAGGCUUAAUAUCGCUAUUUCAACUAAUUUUGACUCUUUUACUUUAUUUUUUACAAGAAAAUGAAAUUUACGAAAAAUGGUCUCAUUAAUGUUUUGCAGUCAUUUUUAAUCUUGAAAAAUACCAAAAAAACUAGUUUCAUUUUAGGUUUAUCUUUAAUAGUUUUUUAAUUAAUUAGGAGUAGUUUUACAUUUUUAUAAAUGCUUUAUACUAUUUUAAAUAAGAAAAACUUAGGCCCUUAGUUAAUGAAAUCCAGAUUUUCUAAGAGCUCAAUUGUUAGUUAAUUCAAGAUAAUGUUAGCUCAACUUUGGGCAAGAAAAUGACCCAAUUUCGGACUAGCCCUUGAGCCCAAAACCCCCAUUACCCCAAAACCUAGACUAAUGCCUAAAAUCUGAUAAAAGGAGCUGAAAAUACAAAAAUAAAGGGAUAGACCUAGACCUAUACAAUAUAGAUCCCUAGACUAGAGCUGACAGUCGCUGGAACACAGAGGAGAUCCUCCCCCCCCCCUAAUUUUUUUGAUCUUCUUCGAACCCCACCACCCCUGAAAUGAGCAACCCUAGAAUUUCUUUGCCUCCAUUCUCACACCUUCAGAGAACGACCGACCAUCCCCUGAACCAAGAGUAAACCAGCGACCACCUUCCUCAGCAAAACCCUUCAUACACCCUUAGUCAUCUGGUCAUAAUAGAUUAGUUAAAAAUGUGAAAAUUGGGCAUCAUUUUUUAUGCCUUGUAAGAGAAUUGAAUCUUAAAGUUCCAUUCGCAUCUGCUGCCUAAAGGAGGUUAUUAUUUCCUCAUGAGAAUCUGACUCGCCGAUCAACUGCUACAUUGCCUUUUAUUGUAACAACUUCUAGGUAUCGAUGUACAAAAACUCUCUGCCAUCCCAAAACCAUUUUCUGAGUUGAGUAGAUUUCGAGGUCGUCAGCGAGAUUUGAGUCUUUCCGGUGAAGUUCGGUCUGUUUGUCGCUAGUCGAGGCUCCGUUCGAGUCCUUGCCUAUUAGUCGAUCUUCAAGGCAGUCUUGUGAAGUUUUCCGUUCAUUAAUUUUGAAAGAAGCAGUCAAGCAAUUGUAAAGGUUCAUUCUCUUCUAAUCUUAAACAAAUUGCAUAAUUUUGACUAGCCUUAUCAGUGUUUCAUUGAGUUACCUGGUAAUUGUGUUAAUCUGAGGUGAUGGAAAUCAUGUUGGACCUGUUAAUUUAGAUAUUUUAUUGGCUUUAAGUUGUUGAUCAUGAAUGAAGACUCUAAUUAAAAUGUUUUCAAUGUCAACGGGCCAGAGUUCACGUUUGGUUUGCUGUUUUCAUAUUAUAUCUGCAUCUCCCAAUUUAUUUCUAUUUUGUUUCUUUUUACCAUAAUGAAUUUGUCAAUUGAACCUUGUUGCAUUUCUUGAUUAAUUGGUUUGGAAUUUGAUCAUCUUGGUGAGAUACGAACUCUAGACAUGUUAAAGUCUAGAUUUUAGUCUCUGCCUGGUACAUUCAACUCUUACUUGGUGCCUUCUGACAAAACUGACAAAAAGGAAUUUUCCCUCUCCAAGAGUUUCAUGAGGUUUCACUUAGUAAGAGGAGUGAAACUGCAAAAUUCGCUCAGCUAUGUAAUGAAUUUAUAUGCAGUUUCCGUGAAGAAGAUCUUAUAAGUGAUAGGGAGAUGGACCUAUUACUUGUUCCUUAUUCCUCGGACCCCAGUCUGAAAGUUAUUCAAUGGCCACCCUUUUUGCUUGCUAGCAAGAUCCCAAUUGCAUUGGACAUGGCUUCACAAUUUAUUUCUAGAGAUGUUGACCUUUGGAAGCACAUAUGUGCGGAUGAAUACAUGAAGUGUGC
Molecule: long non-coding RNA, 15997 nt
Filed under: Nicotiana tabacum (common tobacco)
Lineage: Eukaryota; Viridiplantae; Streptophyta; Magnoliopsida; Solanales; Solanaceae
Description: long non-coding RNA (NTAB_LNC000149)
Source: RNAcentral